GGGCCAUACCUGUGACUUAUGGAAGUUCCUGGGCUAGGGGGUCAAAUCAGAGUUGCACCUGACAGCUUAAGCCACAGUCACACAGGAUCAGAGCUGAGUCUGCCACCUCCACCACAGCUCAUUGCAACACUGGAUCCUUAACCCACUGAGCGAGGCCAGGGAUCAAACUUGCAUCCUCAUGGUUACUAGUCGGGCUUGUUACUGCUGAGCCACAAUGGGAACUCCAUGGUUGCAGACUUAAAGAGCUAAUAAAGGCCUAGAAGCAGUGGACUCUUCUCAAGCAACAACUUAUUUCCACGUGCAUGUAUAUGCUGUGUUAGGUUGGGUUCCACAGGAGCAGAGCUUGAGAUAGGAAAUCUUGUUCAAGUAAUUUAUUUGGAAGAGUGCUCUUAGGAGAAGGGUCAUGAAGGGCAUGGAAGAGAUGGAGCAGAGGAACAGAAGCUAAGCAAUAAUAUGGCCUUUGGCUGGAGAUCAGCUUCUACCUGAUUCUACCAGGAAGCCCUGGCUCCUAAAGUGCAUCAGAGAAUUAAUCCCACACGGAGGCAAGGAAGCCAGUGUUUGGCAUCUAACACUGGUAAGUUAUGGCUGAGGCUACUUCCCUCCAGGGGUGGAGGGAGAGCUGUAAGCCUCCUAGUGCAGCCACGGGCUCUCAUCCGGCCAAGAGCAAGUGUCUGAAGUAGGGGGCAGUUGUGAAUUUUUAGCAGCCCACACACAGCACCUGAACAUUGUCUUAGUGUAGGCUGCUAUAACAAAAGAAAUUUAUUUUUCACACUUCUUGGGGCUGGGACAUCUAAGAUCAAGUAGGUGAUGAAAGUCCUUUUCCUUAUAAACAGUCAUCUUCUCCUUGUACUGUCACAUGGCACUCUACCUCCAUGACUUAACAACCUCCCAUUAGCCACAGCUCCUAAUCUAUCUUAUUGGGAUUUAGGGGUUCAACCUAUUAAUUUGGGGGGAACAUAAACAUGUAGUUAAUAAUACCUAUAAGCAACUGACUGAAACAUGGCUAAUGAAGAACACUUUCAUAAAAUGAUUGCUAUUUUGGCAAUAAGGAAAAGUGCGAACCAAGAUCAUUUUCUAACCAUGCAAUAAAGGAGGAAAAAAGAAUGCUUCAAAUUUGUCAUUUAGGAAAAAAACAAUAUUUUGUUGACACUGUGAUAAUAUUUCAGAGUGGUAAUCAGUACUUUUGUUGCUCUCUAUUUAAGUUAUUUUAUAAAUCUGACAGUUCUAGUAUCCUCCAAAUAGGAUUCUAACUUCUUCUCUUAUUGCUACACAUGUGAAGGUUUAGUUAUUCACAAUUCUACCAUGAAAGUUGUUCUAAUCCACUGGAGCCAAACAUUAUAAAAAGGAAAGGCCAUUAAAUUUUAUGGCAUCCAGUAAGUAAUUUUUUCCUGUCUGAAAUAUAUAAUUAUUUUUUACCACUUUAAUUCACACUGAACAAAACAAAUAUAUGUAAGAGAUACAAUUAGCAACAAUCUGCAAAUGAGCUUUUUUAUUACACUUCCUUUGUUUCAGGCACUUGAAGGUUUUGGGCAAAAAUCUUUCAUCCUCUUCUGGGCUUUGAAGGCUAGGGUGUUAAAUGGGCUACUGUAUUCACUUAGUAAUGUAACUGAGCAUGAACUUAGAGAAUCUUCCAAAUCAAGGAUUUGAGCCAAUGAAGCUUACUUUGUAAUACCUCCAAGAUACAAGUAUAUGGUGGUCUCCAUGAGGACAAGGACUUCGUUCUGUUUUUUGCUUAUCUUCUACACUAGAAGAGUGCCUAGCACACAGUAAACACUCUUAAGUGUUUGUUCAAUGAAUGUGAAUGUGUUUAUUAAUGAUUUUUGACAUCAUCUUUUGUGUGUACAAUUCUUAAUCUUUCCUUGUUAAUAUUUCCUUUUCAUCUUUUUAUUUACCCAUGCCCUUAAGAUUCUGAGAAUUCUGUAGUGUGUU
RNAcentral lists this long non-coding RNA (1929 nucleotides) under Sus scrofa (pig). RNAcentral's name for it is "lncRNA (ENSSSCG00040015754.1)". The record is from RNAcentral. Lineage: Eukaryota; Metazoa; Chordata; Mammalia; Artiodactyla; Suidae.